UACGUAGGGGGCAAGCGUUGUCCGGAAUUAUUGGGCGUAAAGAGCUCGUAGGCGGUUUGUCGCGUCUGCUGUGAAAAUCCGGGGCUCAACCCCGGACUUGCAGUGGGUACGGGCAGACUAGAGUGUGGUAGGGGAGACUGGAAUUCCUGGUGUAGCGGUGGAAUGCGCAGAUAUCAGGAGGAACACCGAUGGCGAAGGCAGGUCUCUGGG
RNAcentral lists this ribosomal RNA (210 nucleotides) under uncultured bacterium. Its description in RNAcentral is "partial 16S ribosomal RNA". It matches the Rfam family "Bacterial small subunit ribosomal RNA", at positions 524 to 733 of the family's 1533-position model. The record is from RNAcentral.